This 419-nucleotide ribosomal RNA is filed under the name uncultured eukaryote. RNAcentral's name for it is "bacterial SSU rRNA". It matches the Rfam family "Eukaryotic small subunit ribosomal RNA", at positions 592 to 1013 of the family's 1831-position model. The record is from RNAcentral.
CAAUAGCGUAUAUUAAAGUUGUUGCGGUUAAAAAAGCUCGUAGUUGGAUUUCUGCUGAGGACGACCGGUCCGCCCUCUGGGUGAGUAUCUGGCUUGGCCUUGGCAUCUUCUUGGAGAACGUAGCUGCACUUGACUGUGUGGUGCGGUAUCCAGGACUUUUACUUUGAGGAAAUUAGAGUGUUUCAAGCAGGCACACGCCUUGAAUACAUUAGCAUGGAAUAAUAAGAUAGGACUUUGGAACUAUUUUGUUGGUUUGCGUUACAAAGUAAUGAUUAAUAGGGACAGUUGGGGGUGAUUCGUAUUUCGUUGUCAGAGGUGAAAUUCUUGGAUUUCCGAAAGACGAACUACUGCGAAAGCAUUUACCAAGGAUGUUUUUCAUUAAUCAAGAACGAAAGUUAGGGGAUCGAAGACGAUUAGAU